This 106-nucleotide microRNA precursor is filed under the name Paramuricea clavata. Lineage: Eukaryota; Metazoa; Cnidaria; Anthozoa; Malacalcyonacea; Plexauridae. The record is from RNAcentral.
UCAAACGUCGGACUUUUCAUGCGCCGAACCUAAUGUUAAUGAGCUAAGUUCUUUGUUUCACUUCAUUUGCAUUAGGUUCGGCGCAUGAAAAGUUCGACAUUUGACC